This 537-nucleotide unclassified non-coding RNA is filed under the name Lacticaseibacillus casei. RNAcentral's name for it is "Lactobacillus casei partial contains 16S ribosomal RNA, 16S-23S intergenic spacer, and 23S ribosomal RNA". The stretch from base 348 to 537 matches the Rfam family "Bacterial large subunit ribosomal RNA", at positions 1 to 191 of the family's 2925-position model. The record is from RNAcentral. Lineage: Bacteria; Bacillati; Bacillota; Bacilli; Lactobacillales; Lactobacillaceae.
AGAGUUUGUAACACCCGAAGCCGGUGGCGUAACCUUUAGGGAGCGAGCCGUCUAAGGUGGGACAAAUGAUUAGGGUGAAGUCGUAACAAGGUAGCCGUAGGAGAACCUGCGGCUGGAUCACCUCCUUUCUAAGGAAACAGACUGAAAGUCUGACGGAAACCUGCACACACGAAACUUUGUUUAGUUUUGAGGGGACGACCCUCAAGCACCCUAACGGGUGCGACUUUGUUCUUUGAAAACUGGAUAUCAUUGUAUUAAUUGUUUUAAAUUGCCGAGAACACAGCGUAUUUGUAUGAGUUUCUGAAAAAGAAAUUCGCAUCGCAUAACCGCUGACGCAAGUCAGUACAGGUUAAGUUACAAAGGGCGCACGGUGGAUGCCUUGGCACUAGGAGCCGAUGAAGGACGGAACUAAUACCGAUAUGCUUCGGGGAGCUAUAAGUAAGCUUUGAUCCGGAGAUUUCCGAAUGGGGGAACCCAGUACACAUCAGUGUAUUGCUUGUCAGUGAAUACAUAGCUGGCCGGCGGCAGACGCGGGGA